UGGGGAAUAUUGCACAAUGGGCGCAAGCCUGAUGCAGCAACGCCGCGUGAGGGAUGACGGCCUUCGGGUUGUAAACCUCUUUUAGCAGGGAAGAAGCGAAAGUGACGGUACCUGCAGAAAAAAGCACCGGCUAACUACGUGCCAGCAGCCGCGGUAAUACGUAGGGUGCAAGCGUUGUCCGGAAUUAUUGGGCGUAAAGAGCUCGUAGGCGGUCUGUCGCGUCUGCUGUGAAAUCCCGAGGCUCAACCUCGGGCCUGCAGUGGGUACGGGCAGACUAGAGUGCGGUAGGGGAGAAUGGAACUCCUGGUGUAGCGGUGGAAUGCGCAGAUAUCAGGAAGAACACCGAUGGCGAAGGCAGUUCUCUGGGCCGUAACUGACGCUGAGGAGCGAAAGCGUGGGGAGCGAACAGGAUUAGAUACCCUGGUAGUCCACGCCGUAAACGUUGGGCGCUAGAUGUGGGGACCAUUCCACGGUUUCCGUGUCGCAGCUAACGCAUUAAGCGCCCCGCCUGGGGAGUACGGCCGCAAGGCUAAAACUCAAAGGAAUUGACGGGGUCAUAGCUGUUUCCU
Molecule: ribosomal RNA, 569 nt
Filed under: uncultured bacterium
Lineage: Bacteria
Description: partial 16S ribosomal RNA
Rfam family: Bacterial small subunit ribosomal RNA
Source: RNAcentral